GGCCGACGCGAUCGACGGGCGGCCGACGAUCGAUCCUGCGACGAUCGACAGGCGGCCGUUCCGGGCGGCGCGGCGGUCG
Molecule: transfer RNA, 79 nt
Filed under: Streptosporangium violaceochromogenes
Lineage: Bacteria; Bacillati; Actinomycetota; Actinomycetes; Streptosporangiales; Streptosporangiaceae
Description: tRNA-Arg
Source: RNAcentral